CCGCAGCCAGCUUGGCAGGAGGGACUGUGGCCCGAGUUGAGGGCAGAGGGGUGGCCAGGGUGGGAUCCCCCAGGGCCUUGCGGCCAAGCACAGGAGGAGUCGGGGUUAUAUCCUGGGUGCAGAGGGCAGCCGGGGGACAGCUUUGUAAGGACCCGUCUGAGCUGGGCCUCAGCGGCCCCCGGGAAGAAGCUUCAGCGUGGAAGGUGGAGCCUAGGCGUUGAGCCCCUGAACUCAGCCGGAGCCGAGCUGCGCCCCCGUGGGCUGGUCAGGGGAGGGGAAAGCCUGCCUCCGCAGGACCAGUGGAGACUCCGAAUCACACGGAGGACGGUGCCGUGCCGAUGCCCCCACACACCUGCUGGAGGGGGUCCAACAACAGACCGCCAAGCGCCUGUGAGAUGCUGGUCUGGGCCGGUGGGCACCAACAUCUCACGCACUUGGAAAUCUGUGGGGCGCUUCCCUGCACAGGCCUGCAGUGAACAGAGGAGGCCAUCGCCGUAAAGAGCUGACAUUUAUUAGGCGCUUACUGUGUGCCAAGCUCAUUCGGAACACCUGACGUGCGCCCCUUCUGUGAACUCCCACUAAGAGGAAGGACCAAUCCUGCGAGAUGCCCGUCACAGACACACCCAGAGGCCACGGGAAGGUGCCAACAUCUCCAGCUUGCCGGCUGUCUUCACCCCAGCCUGCGAGGGCUAUUCUGACUUGGACAGCCAUGCAGACUCUCGCGGGCAGCUGGGAGAGAGGACGGUGCAAACCCCAGGGAGGGCCCUUCACACACACCGGGGGGAGGGCAGUGGGCUUCCGGCAGCUGGCAACUUGGUUGCCAGACGGGACUUUGGGGCCUCUCAUUCCUGAGCAGUGCGUCUGAAAAACUCACAAAUUUUCUAACAUAACUCGGGGAGCCUUGAUUGUUAAUAAAACUGUCUCUU
Long non-coding RNA from Leopardus geoffroyi (Geoffroy's cat), 926 nucleotides. RefSeq lists it as uncharacterized. The transcript is spliced from 3 exons. NCBI's taxonomy places the organism in Eukaryota, Metazoa, Chordata, Mammalia, Carnivora, Felidae. The record is from RefSeq and is a predicted model, not a curated record.